GCGCCCUUAGCUCAAUUGAAUAGAGCACCUGGCUUCGGACCAGGGGGUUGUGGGUUUGAGUCCUACAGGGCGCACCA
RNAcentral lists this transfer RNA (77 nucleotides) under Patescibacteria group bacterium. RNAcentral's name for it is "tRNA-Arg". It matches the Rfam family "tRNA". From Rfam's summary of the family: Transfer RNA (tRNA) molecules are approximately 80 nucleotides in length. The record is from RNAcentral.